CGGAUAUGGCGUAGUCGGUAGCGCGUCAGUCUCAUAAUCUGAAGGUCGGGAGUUCGACCCUCCCUAUCC
Molecule: transfer RNA, 69 nt
Filed under: Litonotus pictus
Lineage: Eukaryota; Ciliophora; Litostomatea; Pleurostomatida; Litonotidae
Rfam family: tRNA
About the family: Transfer RNA (tRNA) molecules are approximately 80 nucleotides in length. Their secondary structure includes four short double-helical elements and three loops (D, anti-codon, and T loops). Further hydrogen bonds mediate the characteristic L-shaped molecular structure. tRNAs have two regions of fundamental functional importance: the anti-codon, which is responsible for specific mRNA codon recognition, and the 3' end, to which the tRNAs corresponding amino acid is attached (by aminoacyl-tRNA synthetases). tRNAs cope with the degeneracy of the genetic code in two manners: having more than one tRNA (with a specific anti-codon) for a particular amino acid; and 'wobble' base-pairing, i.e. permitting non-standard base-pairing at the 3rd anti-codon position.
Source: RNAcentral